UACGUAGGGGGCAAGCGUUGUCCGGAAUUAUUGGGCGUAAAGCGCGCGCAGGCGGCUAUUUAAGUCUGGUGUUUAAACCUUGGGCUCAACCUGAGGUCGCACUGGAAACUGGGUGGCUUGAGUACAGAAGAGGAAAGUGGAAUUCCCAGUGUAGCGGUGAAAUGCGUAGAUAUUGGGAGGAACACCAGUGGCGAAGGCGGCUCACUGGACCGGUUCUGACGCUGAGGCGCGAAAGCGUGGGGAGCAAAAGGG
RNAcentral lists this ribosomal RNA (252 nucleotides) under uncultured bacterium. RNAcentral describes it as "partial 16S ribosomal RNA". It matches the Rfam family "Bacterial small subunit ribosomal RNA", at positions 524 to 776 of the family's 1533-position model. The record is from RNAcentral.